Galeopterus variegatus (Sunda flying lemur) is the source of this 427-nucleotide non-coding RNA. The record is from the annotation of a RefSeq genome assembly. NCBI's taxonomy places the organism in Eukaryota, Metazoa, Chordata, Mammalia, Dermoptera, Cynocephalidae.
AUGGGGAUCAUUCCACAUGAGGUGCAGCUGGUGGAGUCCAGGGGAGACUUGGUGCUGACUGUGGGGACUCUGAGACUCUCCUGUGUAGCCUCUGGAUUCACCUUCAGGAACAACUGGAUGAUCUGGGUCCAGCAGGCUCCAGGGAAGGGCUGGAGUGGGUUGGUUUGAAAAGACAUCGUGCUGGUGGCCUCACAGAAGAGUCUGCUGGGCCUGUGAAAGGCAGAUUUACUGUUUCCAGUGAUUAUUCCAAGAACACACUGCAUCUGCAAAUACACAGUGUGGCCCCUGAGGACACAGGCGUUCAUUACUGUGUGAGACACAGAGAGGGUAUCUCAGUGCAAGCUCAGACACAGACCUCCCUGCAAGUGCACACAGGGCCACCAGGUCAUACAGGGAACCCGCAGCAGGCAGCGGUCCAGUCCCAGAG